This 654-nucleotide small RNA is filed under the name uncultured bacterium. RNAcentral describes it as "bacterial LSU rRNA". The stretch from base 542 to 654 matches the Rfam family "Bacterial large subunit ribosomal RNA", at positions 1 to 113 of the family's 2925-position model. The record is from RNAcentral.
ACAGAGAAACAAGUACAGUUUCGAUAAAUACAAUAAAUAACACAUCAAGUGAUAGUCUUACGAAAGCUUAUCAAGUUUCCCUUCGUCAAUGAAUAAUUGAAGAGUAAAAGACCAGUACGCUAGUACAUAAAGACCUGUUUAUAAGUAAAUUUGGUGUUAGAAGCUACGUAACAAAGGCUCAUAGCUCAGUUGGUUAGAGCGCUACACUGAUAAUGUAGAGGGUCGGCAGUUCAAAUCUGCCUGGGCCUACCAAUAGAAGAGGGCGUAAGCAAGGGGUUACGAAGCUGUAAAACGGAAGCUUACGACAAGAGAAUAAACAGGGGGAUUAGCUCAUUUGGUAGAGCACCUGCCUUGCACGCAGGGGGUGAACGGUUCGACCCCGUUAUCCUCCACCGGUUGAAAGUCAUCAAAGGAUGAUUUUGAAUUAAAGUUCUUUGACAUAGUUGGUAGUAAGAAAUAAAGUAAGAAGAGAACGUGAAGAGCGACCUGUAUUGUGUCGUGUUUGCUAUGAAAAUAGUGGACAUAACAAGGUCAUAAGAUAAGGAAGCGAAAUAAGGGCGCAUGGGGGAUGCCUAGGCUUUGGUAGGAGACGAAGGACGCGGUAAGCUGCGAAAAGUCAAGGGGAGCUGCAUACAAGCGUUGAUCCUUGAAUGU